AGAGUUUGAUCCUGGCUCAGGAUGAACGCUAGCGAUAGGCUUAACACAUGCAAGUCGAGGGGCAGCACAUGAGUGGUAACGCGAUGGUGGCGACCGGCGCACGGGUGAGUAACACGUAUGCGACCUACCUAUAACUGGGGAAUAACCCGUCGAAAGGCGGACUAAUACCGCAUAACAAUGCAAAGCUGCAUGGCUUUGCAUUUAAAGAUUUAUCGGUUAUAGAUGGGCAUGCGUUCCAUUAGAUAGUUGGUAGGGUAACGGCCUACCAAGUCUGCGAUGGAUAGGGGUUCUGAGAGGAAGGUCCCCCACACUGGUACUGAGACACGGACCAGACUCCUACGGGAGGCAGCAGUGAGGAAUAUUGGUCAAUGGGCGCAAGCCUGAACCAGCCAUCCCGCGUGCAGGAUGACGGCCCUAUGGGUUGUAAACUGCUUUUAUACACCAAGAAAAACUUUCACGUGUGGGAGCUUGACGGUAGUGUAUGAAUAAGCAUCGGCUAACUCCGUGCCAGCAGCCGCGGUAA
Molecule: ribosomal RNA, 523 nt
Filed under: uncultured bacterium
Lineage: Bacteria
Description: bacterial SSU rRNA
Rfam family: Bacterial small subunit ribosomal RNA
Source: RNAcentral